Non-coding RNA from Schizosaccharomyces pombe (fission yeast), 523 nucleotides. NCBI's taxonomy places the organism in Eukaryota, Fungi, Ascomycota, Schizosaccharomycetes, Schizosaccharomycetales, Schizosaccharomycetaceae. The record is from the annotation of a GenBank genome assembly.
CCGCUUCUUUAGCUCCAUCCAUAUUUGUUCCUGCUUUGAAAUGAACCCAAAGUGAGCGUUCAUCAUUCUUGAUUAAAUUAAUAGUAGAAAGGGAAAAAUGUUGUACGAACGAAAUACCAUCGAGUGCAUUAUGAAUUUGCGCAACCGAGAUGUUGGGCAAAACAUGACUGACCAAUAGUGUAUUUUCCAUUGCAUCGUUUCGAGAGUCUUGGUUCCAUUUGGAAAGUUGCGGGUCGUUAGAAGGAAGAAUUGAGUCAUCUGUAUCAUUAUCAGGUAUUGACGGCUUUUCGAUUACAUCCUCAGCGGUUGGAAGCUGAAAAUCAUCAUAAUAACCGGCGUCUAAUCUGUCCAUGAAUUUAUCGUAUAACGCCCGGCGAUAAGAUUUCUCAUUUUCAGACACUUCAAGGACUCUUCCUUGUGACUCGUCCACCCAAUAGCUGUCUUCAAACCAAGCUUCGUCACAAUGGCUCUCAACAAAACUUCUUGCGGUCCUAGCGUAUAGAUCCUGUUUAUAAUUGUUGUA